RNAcentral lists this ribosomal RNA (491 nucleotides) under uncultured bacterium. RNAcentral's name for it is "bacterial SSU rRNA". It matches the Rfam family "Bacterial small subunit ribosomal RNA", at positions 15 to 507 of the family's 1533-position model. The record is from RNAcentral.
GAUCCUGGCUCAGGAUGAACGCUAGCGGCAGGCUUAACACAUGCAAGUCGAGGGGUAUUGGUUUCAGACCAAGUAGACCGGCGCACGGGUGCGUAACGCGUAUGCAAUCUACCUUUUGCAGAGGGAUAGCCCAGAGAAAUUUGGAUUAAUACCUCAUAGUAUAGUACUUUGGCAUCAAGGAACUAUUAAAGUCACAACGGCAAAAGAUGAGCAUGCGUCCCAUUAGCUAGUUGGUAAGGUAACGGCUUACCAAGGCUACGAUGGGUAGGGGUCCUGAGAGGGAGAUCCCCCACACUGGUACUGAGACACGGACCAGACUCCUACGGGAGGCAGCAGUGAGGAAUAUUGGACAAUGGGCGCAAGCCUGAUCCAGCCAUGCCGCGUGCAGGAUGACGGUCCUAUGGAUUGUAAACUGCUUUUAUACAGGAAGAAACACUCCGACGUGUCGGAGCUUGACGGUACUGUAAGAAUAAGGAUCGGCUAACUCCGUG